CUCACUGAAUUUAAAAGACGAGAAGCCCCUUAAUCUGCCCACUGAUUAAUUUAUUUUUUAAUUAAUAAUAUUUAUAUAAAAUUUUAAUGUAAUAAAUAAUAAUGCCCGGUUUUACCCAAAACAGGUCUUUUUGAGUUUAAUUUAAAGUUUAAUCUGCCCACUGAUUAAUUAUUAAAGGGGAGCAGAAAUUGGACUGUACAAAGGUAGCAUAAUCAUUAGUCUUUUAUUUGAAGGCUUGUCAGAAGGAUUUGAUAAAAUUGGAACGGUCUUUAAGUUAUAAUUAAAAUUUAAUUUUUAGUUAAAAAGCUAAAAUAAAUUUAAAAGACGAGAAGCCCCUAUAGAGUUUUAUAUUUUUUAAUUAAUAAUAUUUAUAUAAAAUUUUAAUGUAAUAAAUAAUAAAUUAUUUUAUGGGGGGGAUAAAAAAACUAAUAAUCGCCUGUCUUCAAUAUCAAUUAGAACGAAUAUACGAUCCGAAAGCAUGAGUGGGUUGUCUCUAUAUA
This 500-nucleotide ribosomal RNA is filed under the name Zizina otis (common grass blue). Its description in RNAcentral is "partial 16S ribosomal RNA". The record is from RNAcentral. Lineage: Eukaryota; Metazoa; Arthropoda; Insecta; Lepidoptera; Lycaenidae.